RNAcentral lists this long non-coding RNA (2487 nucleotides) under Scophthalmus maximus (turbot). Its description in RNAcentral is "lncRNA (ENSSMAG00000026969.1)". The record is from RNAcentral. Lineage: Eukaryota; Metazoa; Chordata; Actinopteri; Pleuronectiformes; Scophthalmidae.
AUGGAUCGGCGAAGCAGCAAGUGGCGAGCAGGAAGCUUUGAUUUCAGGCAGCCUUCCUGGAGAGGGCUCCUUCUGUCGGCAGCUGAGCAGAGAGAGCGGGGCCCACUGAUUAAAGUCCUGUUUGUUUUAAUCUUCCCUUUUGCCCAGGGGAGGCCCACAGAGAGGGAGGGCUCCUACUGGGAGGUGGGACGAUGCCCUCCCCCUGGGGAUAAUUCCUUCCCUUUCUGUGGCUUGAAAAGCAGGCGCCGUGUGCAGCAUCCAGCCGCAGUGCGAGGAGAAUCAGUGAAGGGACGAAGGCCUCGGAACAAGAGAGGCAGCCUCGCUGAACCCGCUGUACUGCACGUACCGUCUCCUGUCCAGCUACUUUCAGCUUAGGAUCAGGACGAGACGACCACUGCCGAGGCUGGAUUGGGCGUUUCUGUACCUUUACUGGCAUGUCUACUCUCCGAGGGGAGAGCAGAUGUGAGACACUGGAGGGACUGAAGAUAAUUGCAAAUGCGUUUUGGUCUGCUUCCUAUCUUGAUGGGUCCAAGUGUAUCAAUCUAAGACCAAAGAAGAAGAGAGAACGCGGCUCUCUUCACUUCACCACGACCGAGGUUCGGGAGCUACGAGGGCAUGCUGAUGUAACUGCAUGAAUCUUAUGAGUGUUGGCCAUUGACCAACUCUGACAAAUUAAAAGGUCACCCUUGAAACACUCUUACAUUGUUCAAGAAUAGUUGUUGGCAAGCAAUGUGGCAUUUCUUGGUUCAUCUUGUUUUGAUCCAAAGACAUUAAAUUGAGGUAUUUGCAGCAACAAGAGGAAUUCCCGGCACAUGAUUCAGUUAUCCAAAUCAUCAAUACCAACUCUCAGGUGUUUGGUUCCAGUCCCGUGAAGUUAAAAAAGAAAGGGCUGCUCCAGAGUAAAACAUGCUGACGCUGGAAGAUGCGUUUUAAGAAAGGGGGGCUCUAAAAGUUGCUCCUCUAUCUAUUUUAUCAGCCAUGACUCCAGAAAUCUAUUCUGGUAAGCUGGUGAAAAUGUCAUUCCUUUGGAAUGUGCAAUUAUGUAAGAUACAAAUAAUAGACACACCCGCUGACUUUCAUAAAGAGCUAAAAAAAUAUAUACAUUUUGGUUAAGUGCCUCCAAAUGUAGUUAUUUGUUUAAUCUCAACCUUUGACAGAUUGGUCACUUUAAACAACCAUUACCAAGUAUAUGUUCAAAGCUGAGAGUUCUAUUAUUUACCAGUUUCUAGAGAAACAAUACUUGAAUAUGAAACACCUUUGGUUCUGUAUGUGAUGAAAUUUGUAAUCCGGACUGUCAAAUGUCCAAUAUUCAAUUUCUCUUAGGCUCUAUUUUGGUCACAAUCAACUCCUGAAACAAAUAUCUGGCUCUUUAGCUGCUUGAAUGAUCACUAUAGUCACUGACUUUGUCUUUGGUGUCAUGAUUUGGCUGUCAUGAUUAUCCAGCUGAAAGAAGAAACCUGCUCUGGAAACAACAACAUUGACCUGUUGACAUCGAUGGUAGUGUACCAAAACAGUACAGACGAUAUGAUGAAAGGCACGAAAGUUUGACUGAUUGUACAGAUAAAAUAUAUUGAUGAGUGCAGCUAUAAACACUUCAACUAUAACUUAAUUUGACACAAAAACACUUGUGGCCCCUAAGAUAUCUCCCAGAUGACUUGGACCAGUUGUGGGGAAAAUGUUGAAAGAGACAAUAAAAAGACGAUGAUAAAAGUGCCGAGAACCAAUACAAGUCAUAUUGUUGCUUUUGGAUUUAAAUCAUAAACAGAUUAUGGAAAAAAUGAUUGAGGGGUUCUAUUUUAUGUUUAGUGUAUUUCUUAAGGGCUUAAGUCAACAACAUUUUCCCAUGAUUUAUUUUUACCAUCUCAACUGUAACAAAUCAAGAUCAACACCUCCUUUGCAGCUGUGACACUGCAUUGCUCUUCCAGUUUUGAAAUUGGCCGGGUCAUGUUUCAAAAAUAUUGUCUGCUCUAGAACAAUAAGGAUAGCAGCCACUUUUUUUCAAAGGGACUGUUCUGGAGCGUUAAGAUCUGGAUAUGCCUGGACAUAAUUACAGCACCUGUAGUUGGUAAAAAAACAUAUGUGUUUUUACACAUACUGUACAUUGUGUAGUAGGAGAGGAAUAAUUUCCUGACAUACAUUAUUGCAUUUAACAUUUUAAUUUUAAUUUUAAAUAUUAGAUCAUUUUUGGCGUGAUUGACUCCUGUCUGUACUUAUGUUUUUUUUUAACGGCAAAAAACAUCUGCUCUCUUUAAAAACCAUCAAGAUGACCAUUGAGAUGCUUGCAUGAAAGUGUGGUUGGAUCAACACACUUAGAAAAAAAGGGAGUGUAUUAGCAGCACCUUCUUUAGCUGCUUGAAGUCAAAGACUAUAAAUGAGUUUUGAUUUCAUCUCAGGGGCCGGACAGCUUCCAGGCUGCCUGUGUGGUCACAGAGAGUUGACCUCACGUACAGUAACAAUAAACACUUUGAAACAGAUUAAAAUGCAUUG